GAUGAACGCUAGCGGCAGGCUUAACACAUGCAAGUCGAGGGGCAGCGUGAGGGUUAGCAAUAACCCUUGACGGCGACCGGCGCAAGGGUGCGUAACGCGUGAGCAACUUGCCCUUAUCAGGGGGAUAACCGGUGGAAACGCCGACUAAUACCCCAUGGCAUCACAUAAAGGCAUCUUUUUGUGAUUAAAGAAUUUCGGAUAAGGAUAGGCUCGCGUGACAUUAGCUAGACGGCGGGGUAACGGCCCACCGUGGCUACGAUGUCUAGGGGUUCUGAGAGGAAGGUCCCCCACACUGGAACUGAGACACGGUCCAGACUCCUACGGGAGGCAGCAGUGAGGAAUAUUGGUCAAUGGCCGGAAGGCUGAACCAGCCAAGUAGCGUGAAGGAUGAAGGUUCUAUGGAUUGUAAACUUCUUUUAUACGGGAAUAAAACCUCCACGUGUGGGAGCUUGUAUGUACCGUAUGAAUAAGCAUCGGCUAACUCCGUG
This 488-nucleotide ribosomal RNA is filed under the name uncultured bacterium. RNAcentral describes it as "bacterial SSU rRNA". It matches the Rfam family "Bacterial small subunit ribosomal RNA", at positions 28 to 507 of the family's 1533-position model. The record is from RNAcentral.